UUAGAGUUUGAUCCUGGCUCAGGAUGAACGCUAGCGGCAGGCUUAACACAUGCAAGUCGAGGGGCAGCGAGAUCAGUGCUUGCACUGAUUGUCGGCGACCGGCGCACGGGUGCGUAACGCGUAUGCAACCUACCCAUUACAGGGGGAUAACACUGAGAAAUCGGUACUAAUACCCCAUAACAUCCAGGGAGGCAUCUUCUUGGGUUGAAAACUCCGGUGGUAAUGGAUGGGCAUGCGUUGUAUUAGUUAGUUGGUGGGGUAACGGCUCACCAAGACAACGAUACAUAGGGGGACUGAGAGGUUAACCCCCCACAUUGGUACUGAGACACGGACCAAACUCCUACGGGAGGCAGCAGUGAGGAAUAUUGGUCAAUGGACGCAAGUCUGAACCAGCCAUGCCGCGUGCAGGAAGACGGCUCUAUGAGUUGUAAACUGCUUUUGUACGAGGGUAAACGCAGAUACGCGUAUCUGUCUGAAAGUAUCGUACGAAUAAGGAUCGGCUAACUCCGUGCCAGCAGCCGCGGUAAUACGGAGGAUUCAAGCGUUAUCCGGAUUUAUUGGGUUUAAAGGGUGCGUAGGCGGUCGGAUAAGUUAGAGGUGAAAUCCCGGGGCUCAACUUCGGAAUUGCCUCUGAUACUGUUCGGCUAGAGAGUAGUUGCGGUAGGCGGAAUGUAUGGUGUAGCGGUGAAAUGCUUAGAGAUCAUACAGAACACCGAUUGCGAAGGCAGCUUACCAAGCUACUUCUGACGUUGAGGCACGAAAGCGUGGGGAGCAAACAGGAUUAGAUACCCUGGUAGUCCACGCAGUAA
RNAcentral lists this ribosomal RNA (809 nucleotides) under uncultured bacterium. Its description in RNAcentral is "bacterial SSU rRNA". It matches the Rfam family "Bacterial small subunit ribosomal RNA", at positions 1 to 805 of the family's 1533-position model. The record is from RNAcentral.